Atta colombica is the source of this 69-nucleotide non-coding RNA. NCBI's taxonomy places the organism in Eukaryota, Metazoa, Arthropoda, Insecta, Hymenoptera, Formicidae. The record is from Rfam.
UUUAAAUGAUGAAAUUGAUUGGUCCGUGUUACUGAUUUAUCAAUGAUUUUAUAUCCAAUCUCUGACUAA